Molecule: long non-coding RNA, 431 nt
Organism: Melospiza melodia melodia
Lineage: Eukaryota; Metazoa; Chordata; Aves; Passeriformes; Passerellidae
Exons: 3
Source: RefSeq, a predicted model, not a curated record
CAGGUCCAUUGACUUCAGCAGAUGAUUGACACCAGAUGGCCCACCAUGUUUGAUAUUAUUACAUUAAGAUCUGGUGAAGCCUCUCCAUUUUGUCCAGAUGUAUCUUGUGGCCCAGAAAGAGUAUUUUCUCUGCCCACACAUGUCAUCUUCCCCCGGCUCUAUCAAAAGUGUCCAGAGCUGUCUUCUCAAAAGUGCCCCUCAUCCCCGGUGGGAAACUAUGCAGCAACAUCUGCAGCUGUGGCACUUGUGUUUGCAGACACAACAGUCCCAUAUGAGGCUGCCCACAAAGUUUUCACAGAUAACUUCAGUUGAAUGUGUUUUUCCUGGUGUUUCAGAGAUCCCAGGAAAACUGGCUGGACCUUUUAAUUGCACCUAAUGGAUAUACCUGCAUAUAAUUUGAAACACUUGCCUUUUUCAGAAUAACUUUAUUA